This 1664-nucleotide long non-coding RNA is filed under the name Nicotiana tabacum (common tobacco). Its description in RNAcentral is "long non-coding RNA (NTAB_LNC011421)". The record is from RNAcentral. Lineage: Eukaryota; Viridiplantae; Streptophyta; Magnoliopsida; Solanales; Solanaceae.
CCCAAAGCAAUUCCUUCACCUAAACCAAAUUCGAACAAACUUGAUAACAGAAAAGAAGGAACAGAUCACUUUAAAACUUCAGCCUCACCCUAUCCAUGAUCAAUGUGCUAGUCAAAACAGUUCAAGAGCUAAAUAUUACAGCCAUUAUGAGAUUGAAAGAAGAAGGAAUGAGAUUCGAACUACAAAUAACAUUAGCUUUUUAUAUUUCUAAAUCCCAAACUUCAGAUUACACUUAAGUGAUAUCCAUAGUGCUGAAAAUACCUGGAAAUAAAGGAAAACAAAAGAUGUGCAGAGUCAGUAGAGAGCAGCAGCAGAAAAGCAAUGGAACAAUGUUGGAAUCAACCAAUUAAGCCUUGAGGAACCAGCUAAAACAGCAAAUAAGCAGUAACCCAAACCAACAGUUCCAACCAGACCUUUGAAUCCCCAAAAUUAAACCAUUUUUUCAACCCAAGUGCAGAAUUCUGAGGUUUUUAGAAAUUCAAACUAAUGUAGAGGAUCAAACAAGCAAACCUGAGCGAGAUUUGAGCAAUUUUCCCCAAAGAAAUGCUAGAAAGUCAAUGUGGUUUCAAGAGUUUUUUUAGCUAUUUCAGUUUUUGCCCAAUUUUUAUCUCCUCCCCUCUCCAAAAUCUUCCUUGAACAACAAGGUAGAUUGCCUUUAUAGGCAAGGAAGUAUGGCAGCACUUAGGAAUUAGUUUUGCACUUAGAACCUUUUGAAAUUUUGAUUUUUGCUUAGAAAUCCUUAGUGUAAAAUUCAGAACUUUCGUUAAGUCCCCACCCCAGCUUCCAAGAAGCUUCCUAAUUCAGUUAUUGAGAGAUUCCCUAAGCAGACUACCCAAAUUACCCUUUUACCUUCUGAAAAUUACUUCAAGAACCAAAACCAAAAUGGGUCAAAGUUGACCCUACGACCUAGUGCAAUUUGGAUGGGCUGCUCUUUUCCAAUUGAAUCAGAGACAACCCAAAUUACGAACAAUACGCUUAGUUAAAAAUUUGCAAACUCUGAAAUGGUCUUAACAGGUCAAACAACCUAGCCUAAAACGACCCAUUAACUAAUUGACUAAACCAACGAAUCUGAAUUAAACUGAUUAACAAACCAAGAACAAGUUAAAAUACUAACCUAAAAUUGUCAUGCUUAGGAAAGCAACUAGGAAAACGAAACAAAUAACAGAGGGGUCGAGAUAAAUAAGAAGAAGCAGAAAAAUAGAAAAUGAAAAAAAUGACAGCUAGAUAAAACCGCAAAGAAAAAGAAAAUACCUACUGAGACUCAAGCAAAUGAGGAAAGGAGUCUGAAUCUUCAACUUCUCUGAUUUUUUGGCCAACUAUGAUAUUAAUCGUGUGUUCUUAAUCAGAGCACACGAAUAACAUCACAAUAAACCCAAAUCUUCAAACAAACUCGACUCAGGAGCUUUUGGGAAUUAGGGUUAAUCCCUUCGAUCUAAAAUUCGAGGGAUUCUGGAGUGAUUCGAGGGAAGUGGAGUUGAUAUUCGGCAUGAGGGGAGGGAAGGGGUCCUAGGGUGUUACUUUGAUAGUGUUUGGAACCGGUGCCUCCGGUGGAUAGUGGUGGGAAAAGAGGAGGCUACUAGGGUUUAUGCUUAAUCUCUGAAGGUGAGAUGAGAUGAGAGAGACAGAUCUGGCGGGGUUAGGGAUUCCGACAAUUUUAUACCAAG